This 345-nucleotide unclassified non-coding RNA is filed under the name soil metagenome. RNAcentral describes it as "partial contains 5.8S ribosomal RNA, internal transcribed spacer 2, and large subunit ribosomal RNA". The stretch from base 1 to 119 matches the Rfam family "5.8S ribosomal RNA", at positions 35 to 154 of the family's 154-position model. The record is from RNAcentral.
GAUGAAGAACGUAGCGAAAUGCGAUACGUAAUGUGAAUUGCAAAUUCAGUGAAUCAUCGAGUCUUUGAACGCACAUUGCGCCCCCUGGUAUUCCGGGGGGCAUGCCUGUCCGAGCGUCAUUGCUGCCCUCAAGCACGGCUUGUGUGUUGGGCCCCGUCCUCCGAUCCCGGGGGACGGGCCCGAAAGGCAGCGGCGGCACCGCGUCCGGUCCUCGAGCGUAUGGGGCUUUGUCACCCGCUCUGUNNNNNNGGCCGGCGCUUGCCGAUCAACCCAAAUUUUUAUCCAGGUUGACCUCGGAUCAGGUAGGGAUACCCGCUGAACUUAAGCAUAUCAAUAAGCGGAGGA